AAUAAAAUAAACCCUGGGUUUCCAUAUUCAAUGUUUGACUGUCCGUUUUAUAUGAAAUUUUUUUAUAAUUAGUAUUUUCAUUGUUGUUAGAUGAUAAAAUAUGAUUAAUACUUUAUGCGUGACUUGUCUUUUUAAUUUUUUUUAUAAAUUUUUUAAAUAAAACGGACGGUCAAAUGUUGGACACGGAAACUCAGUGUUUUUUUUAUA
Molecule: non-coding RNA, 207 nt
Organism: Oryza nivara
Lineage: Eukaryota; Viridiplantae; Streptophyta; Magnoliopsida; Poales; Poaceae
Source: Rfam